AGUUACCAGGGAAAGCAAGUAUGUUCAAAGGCAGGAAUGAACUUGACCUAUUAGAGCACCUGAAUAAGCUGGCAUGGGGAGAGUGAUAUGAUACUGAGUCUGAAAGGAAGUCGGAGGUCAUAUAAUGUGUGCUUUGGAAACCAGAGUAAAGAGUUUGAUGGGAAACCACUAAAGAGUUCCUUCCCAAUACAGGACCAAAAGAGAAAUUGAUUGUCAGUGAAACUACAGCAUUUUGCAAAGUGACCAUCUUUUGGAAAGGAUGACAACUACUGCCUCUCACUGACUCUCAGUGACGUGUAUUGCUCUUUAUAUAUUAUUAUCUCAUUUGAUCAUCGGAGCAAUCCCAUAGCAAGAAUAAAAUAAUGACACAUGCUAUUAUGAAAGCUGCCUUUCUCAGUGUUUAACGAUGUUUCAUAUGCAUCUUUCCAUAUAGCUUCCUGAGCUCUCGCAUCUCCAUGGUCCUACCUCUCCAUGCUGUCCCCCACCGUCAUCCACAGAAAGGACUAUUGUCUCUUCAUUCAAAAUCCAGGUACCAUUUUAAGCACUACAAUGUCAUCUGAUCUUCAUAAAAACAACUUUGAGAUGUUCUUUUGCGAAAUGUCAGUUCAAGUCAUUUGACCCAUUUUUUCCAUGCUCACCGCAUUUGGAAAAGCACAGCUCUGGAGAUGAGGACGCUGAAGAUCAGAGGCUCUGAAGAACUUGCCUAACAUUAUACAUCUAGUAGGAGGAAAUCUUUCUUCUGGUCUACAACUAGGAUUUGAUGCCUGGAGUUCCAGCAGCAGCAUUCUGGGAAUAGGAAGCGACACUAGGAAUGGAAGGAGUUGCUGCUUACCGGACAGUCACCAUUCUACACUGAAAUGUAGGACCCUCUUUUACAUGACAGAGAAAGCUUUGGAAACUGAAGCCCAGAGCCAUCAAGGAGAUGGUCCAAAACUUCUGGACACAAAAUUGUGAACUUGGGAUUCAAACAUAGAUAUCCAGACUCCAGAGCUGUACUACUGAAUAUUAAAUCCCAUCCUGCCUUGAGUUUGCUGGAAUUAGGAAAAGAAACCACAACUCUGGCCUAGAGUAACUCAACACUGACAGUUAAUCUCCUAGAACAUACAGAUUAACCUGGAAGGGAACGCAGAAGAGUGAAAAUGGUCAUAGAAGAGUAGACUGUUAAAUUUUAUAGCUUUUAAGGUAAACACAAUGCAGGAGUUCACACUAAGGAGUUACAAUGUCAUUACAUCAUUUUUUUUUUAUUGGUCAAAUGGGCUAUAUGUGCAUAGUCAGUUAAACAACAUACAAUCCCAUUGAUGGGUUGCUUUUUCUCCUCCACGUACUCCAGAAUGAGUAAGAGUGGGAUUUUUGGUUUAUUCCUACUAAGAUGCAGAUUAAAAUGAUGUGGUACUUAGCAAGGCUUCUAUAAUUAUUACUUAAGUAAAAACGCACCUUUGAGUUGAAACCUCAGAGAUUGUUUAAAGCAUCUUCACAUGAUCUAGUUGGAGAAGCAUAGGAUGCUCCGCAGGUAUAGCAAUGAGACUAGACCCAGCCCUCCCGGCUCCCCCUCCAGCCAUAUUUUCCCCCGCAGUGCUGACCAUUCAAUCAGGUGCAAUGGCUGUCUGUGGCAUCAGUGCUGCUCCGAUCCUUGUCUAGAAAAUAUUCAGUCUGACCCCAUCUAGAUGAAAGUAGCAUUAGGGUGAACAAUCAGAAGUCAAAUCAGAAUGGUCAGUGGUGCUCCUCCUUUCAGGAUGGCCUAAGGCUGACUCUCCCAUGUGGGGUAGUUAUUUAACAUCUUUAUGAUUUGGCAUCACCAGUUAGAGCUGAAUUCUGAAGCAAUGGCCAGUGGACCGUAGCCAGCCCUAUAAUGUGUUUUGUUUAACUCAUUAUUUUAAAUGAAUGAAUGAUGAAUGAAUAUUAUACUAAAAUAUUCAGAGAUUUCCGUAAACAAUCUGUUUUUUCAAUUUCUUGUGAAAAGCAGAAGACCUGGCAACAACAGCCCACUUUUCUGCGUGGCACAUGGCAGCGAUUCACUGUAGCUGAUUAGAAUCUACACCAUUUAGAUAGGACAUUCCUUUCCCUAUGCAUGUGGCCUGUUUCACCCAAGGUAUCGGUCUGGCCCCAGUUUGGAUUUGUUUUUGAACACUGACUUAGAGCAUUAGGAAGAAUGAUACCUGAUCUUUACAUACUCUCCAACAUGUUUGUAUGGCUAUUUGCUAAAUUAUAACUAUGUCAAAGCAAAUGACUGAACUAUGGCUAAUUCAUGCAGCAAGUGUUGAACAAACAUCACGUGUGUUUAUGUUUCUAUUUAUGAUUGUGUAUAGUAUUUUAUUUCCAACAUAAAUCAAAGCCCGUCAGAAGGAUUUCUUUAUCGAUCAAUGUGAUUAAUGCAAGAAAUUAUAUAUGAACUACCUAGUUCCCUGGGGUGAAAUUCAACUACUCCUGCAAUGUGCAAAGAAUACGCAUGUUUCCUAAUGUUAAUAAUCAGAAAAGAAACCCUUGGGUUAAAUGAUUAACAAAGAAGAUAAUCCUUUAAAUAAAACGUGGUGUCUAUACGUGCAAAAUGUAUAAAAAUUAUACCCAGCCACUGGAAGAGCAUCUAGAUUCAAGGAAGAUCUAAUGUAAUGAAAAGUUUUCCUGAGAUAUAGAAAAGCAAAAGUAUGACUUGUUAAAUUAAGAAAUGGGUAUCGUAUUUUUAAGCCAUUUUUCUUUUAAUUAAAUAUAAUAGACCUUUAGGCAAAAUUAAUGUGACAUGUUUUCACAUGUUUAGCCACCUGGCAAAAUCUUAUCAUCUGUCAAGAGCCACAUCAAGCGGCUUCUGUGAAGCAUUUAAACAAAACUCCAUCUCUCCUUUGUAGCUCCCCACGAUGAUCUCAAUCUUUGGUUGUUUUAUUUAUUUUACUCAAGUGUGAUUAUUAGUUACAUGCCAGUUUUUCAGUUAAGACUGUGAGCUAUUUGGUAACAGAAAAGUCAGCCAUUUUCUUUUUUCUUUUUUUUCUCUCACACACGUAGCAUAAUGUCUGGCCAAUGAAAAAAAUUAAUAUUGUUGAAAGAAUAUGUGGAUGAAUAAAUGUGUGAAUGAAUAUUAAAUGAUUAAGUAUUAAGCAAGCUUUGGGAGGCAACUAUAUAGCUGUGAAAACAGCACUGGAUAUAUUCCGAAUAUUUAGAACUGAAUUUUGUGUCUUCUACCUACAGCUUUGAGUCAUUGAACAAGGAAUUUUGCAGAUGGACAGAUAUAUUUCCUAAUAUAUUUGCCCAGUAGGGCUAUUGUGAACAUCUAACGACAUAUUGCCUGUAAAAGUAACUUGAAAUUGUUAAGUGCUUGUCAACUCUAUGGGCUCAUGGAUAUGAAGAAUUCCAUCAUUUUCAGAAACUGUUAACAGUCAUUUGCAUCCUUUUUUUAACACUACUUUUGGCUAAAACUUGCAAAUAUGGCCUAUACAUUUUUGUUUUUAUAUUUGUCGGUUGGGGCUCUCUCAACAGAGACGUUCCAUAGUGUUCAUACUGUUUCCAUGGGUACCGUUUUAAAAAACCAAGAUGGUGGUGCCUUUUUAAAGUCAGUCAGACUUGAAGUUAGAUUUUUGUUGGGAGCAGGGGAUGAAAACAAAGAAUUCUGAAGAAAGAGAAAAGAAAGUUAUUGGGGCUUUCCAAUUAAAGAAUGCAAAAGAAAUCUAAGUAAAUUCUUACCAUUUAUAAUGGAAGAGGUGGAAAAUGGAUGUUGGCGUGAGAAUGAUUAUGCAAAAAAUCCUUAUUUACCCUUAUAAUGCUAGUGACCUUGGAGCCUCAAUAUUCUCAUGUGUAAAUGGGGAAUGAUGAUAAAUAGGCUUUCAGGUGUUGGGGAUUAAAUGAAAUAACCUGUCUAGAGCAUCUGGUACAGCACCUGGCACAUUCCUUUUGGAGGGAAUGUUCAGCCUCCCUGUGUAUGCUGACAACAGGGAACUAGAUUAGCAGUCCCUGGUUAGCCUAAGGGAAGAUUUAAUGCUGCUUUUCAUGUGGGACCCAGCCCCAGCCAUCUUCAAGGGAAGUUAUUGCAUCUGGCCCCAGAAGCAGAGCUGACAUUUUUGACAGGGCCUUAAGUGCAGCUCCCCCUGGGGUGCUGUAACUGAGACAAGACAGGGCAGGUGGCAGUAAUUGGCAUCACAUCCACUCAGGGAUUGGAUAUAGCAUGGAUUACCAUGGAAUUCUUUUUUUUUUUUUAAGAGAGACUUCUAUGAACCUUAGCCGGUUCUAAACCCUUUGAUAAUUAUUUCUAUCAUCAAUUACACAGCUGAAGGUUGAAAGGAAAGGCUGUAUUUUCUUAGGAAUAAGCAGAUUUACCCUGUUGUUCCCAAAAAGAACAGUAUGGUAUUAAUAGCUACCAGUUUUCCAUUACUAUUUUAUUGCUCAGACUUACAAAUCAGUGCUUGGACCCACAGGGUGCCACUUUACUUCAUUUCCUGAUACACUCCUGAAUGUAAACUCUAAAAUUCCAGGUUCCCUGGACACACCAUGUCCUUUCACAUCUUAAUGCCUUGCUUCUUGUACAUCCUUCAACUUAAAAAAAAAAAAUCUGUUCCCUUUCCCGCUUCUAUAACAUCAGGCAUCUUUAGGAGGCAGCAAAGACUAAACCUAGAACCUAGGGCCCAUUGUUUGUCCUUUCUAAUCCUCAGUUUUGUUAUGUGCAAAAUAGGAGCAAAACCUAUCAUGUGGGGCCAGAACAUAUAUGUAACAGCAACACAGAAUGUGGCAGAAGUAACUACAAUGUGAUUAGGUCUGCAAACCAGCCCUGCCCUGCACCUUGAAACUAACAGCGGCAUAUUGUUGCAUAGUUUAAAGAGUUGAUAGAUGAUAGACAGACAGAUAGAUAGAUAGAUAGAUAGAUAGAUAGAUAGAUAGAUAGGCAGACAAAUGAUAGAUUCCAAAAGCAAUACUUGAAAAUAUGGAAUUUGCUGAUGGUUUCAUGGGGAGACAGAGGAUAUGGUUACUUUGCUCAGCAUCAUUCACCUUCAACAGAGGGUACUAUUCAGCUCUGUCAAUCUCAAAGCCUAAUUAUACUCUGAGUGGAAAAGGAAGAGGAUAUAACAUUUAUAAACCAAAAGAUCAAAUGAAUAAUAACUAUUUUUAAUAGUAAUUAUUUUAACAGUCUGUCUCUGUAUUCAUUAGGAUUCUCCAGAAAAAUAUAUUUAUAAAUAUAUAUGUGUGUGUGUGUGUAUAGAUUGAUUAUAAGGUACUGAUUCAUGAGCUUACGGAAGCUUAGCCCCAUGAUCUGCCAUCUGCAAGAGCAGCAGGGCCAGUGAUACAAUUCAAAGGCCUGAGAGCCGGAGAGCUGAUGGUGUCGAUUCUAGCCUCGGUCUGAAGGCUUGAGAACCAGGAGCAUGAAAACAGGAGAAGAUUCUUGUCCCAGCACAGCAGUUAGGCAGAGAGUGAAUUCAGCCUUCCUCCAUCUUUUUGUUCUAUUCAGGCUCUCAACAGAUUGGAUAAAUAAGUGAUGCGUGGUUGGGUUAAUGCGGCCUGUCACACUGGGGAGGGCCAUCUGAUUUGCUCAGUCCACCAAUGCAAAUGCUAAUCUCCGUAGGAAACACUCUCACAGACACACCCAGAAAUAAUGUUCAACCAACUAUCUGGGUAUCUGUUGGCCCAGUCAGGUUGAUGCACAGAAUUAACCAUCACAGUCUCCAAAGGCUUAGACCAGGAAUUUGUGAAGAGUAAUGGACUCCUGUAGGUACCUCUACUCCUAAUUCUCAAAAUGAUGUCAACACGAUUUCUUCUCACUCUAGGAGAUAUGAAACAGGGCUUCUUUAAAUGAUUGCCACUUUUCACCUCCUGUUAGGAAUUGUUGAUUUAACAAAUAUCUAUUAAGUACCUACUCUCUGUCAGGUAAUAGUAAGCAAAGAAGAAAAGAAGAUGAGGUAGAAGUAAGUCCCUGCUCUCAGAUAGAUGACACUUUAAUGUAGGGAAACAAAUUCACACCAAUUAAGGUAUUGUCAGUUAAUGUACUGUUAACCAUGAAAGAUGUGUACAUGGAACUAUGAAAAAAUAACAGGAAGAUCUAUUUUAUAUUAGAGUGGCAGCAUAGAAAAAGCCUCUGAGAAUGACUGUAUUUCUUAGAAACAAAGAACUGACUUUCUAGUAGGGCAACAUGGGCUCUUUGCUUCAUUUCUCCUUUCCUCCCUUCCUCUCUCUCUUCUCCUUUCUUUUUUUUUUUUUUUUCUUUUCUUUUUGGUUAUAAAAGAGAAAACAUGAAAAUGGCCCAUUUCAAAAAAUUCCUAGACAACAAGGCUUUACCUACUACUUCCCAACAGCAGGUCCAAAAUAAUAAAGUAAUAGUCCUAGUGAAAUUGGGCUGGGCUCAUCCAUCCUCAGAGAGUAGGGAAUGAAUAUUCAGAUCUGGAAGCUACAAUAGAUUUGGUUGUUGUCAAGAAGAUAGAGAAGCUGAAGAAUAUAUAUUUAAUAAUAAUCCCUAGUAGAUAAGCAGAGCCAUUCUAAAUUAUUAAUAAUAAUAAUAAUUGUAGUAAUAAGCAUAAUGAUGAUAGGCUAUUAACCAUGUGCCAGUUCCUGUUUGAGGCACAUCCUGUGCAAAUGUCAUUUAAUGCUGGUAACAGUCUGUUUUAUUCACAUAAAUAUCCAAACGGCUUUGUCUAAAGAGCAAUACAAAACUCUGAAUUGGUUCUGGUUGGUAAAACUCUCAGGGAAGCUAAGUGAGAGGAGGACAUGGCAGGGAGAUCAUCAGUGCAUGGGGGCUGGUGUCAUGGUUCCAGGUGAGGACAAAGGAAGGAGGAUUCAGCCAUCUCCAGGUGUAAAAGUCGGCAAGAUGUCAAAGAGUAUUCUUAGUUCCAGCACUAAUUUCAAUUUAUGUGUUUAAUCUUUCAUCCAACAAAAACCUAUUUUGAAAUCAAACAUAUGUUAAUAAUGAUAUAUCAAUAAGUAUUACAAUUAACCUUUGCAGCCCUAUUAUAUUACCAUGAACAGAGAUUCUGGGACCCAGAGAGAAAUAUCUAGUCUGUGGUCAUCUAGUGCUGCCCACAUGGACCCAAUAUUCGGAAAGAGUAGCCCAUAGGCCAUUUUGAUCUAACCCAAAUCUUUUGUUUUCCAUACAGGAAAAGUGGAAAAGUGAGGCCAUGCAAAGGGAAUAACUUGCUCAAGGUCACAUAGUAUAAGCUAGGGUCAAAGCCACAAUCCAUACCAAGCUGUUGGACUCCUGGGCUCUACCGCAUUUUCAAUGCAUUAAGCUGCCCUGUGUCAGAGAUCAGAUUGACCCUUGGGCCAGGUGCCCCUUCAAAGCUUGAAAUUGGGUUAAAUCUCCCACUGAUCACAACUCAUGAAAGACAUCUAGAAAAUGGUCUCACAGUGUAACAAAGCUCAGCAAAGGAGUAUGCGUGACUCACUGCAAAUCAUCUCCACUUUCUGAAGAGCAAGUCAGAGCCUAGGCUUUUCCCAUAAAAGGGGAGACAGCAUUUUUUCCGUGUGCAAGAAACUGUGAUAAUUAAAUCAGGAUCAAGCUGCUUUUCUCCCUCACAUGUGAACUUUCACAUCAAGCAACUCUCAUCGUUGCCCACAAAAAGAAAAUAAAGCUAGAUUUACCUUAUUUCUAUGAAGCAUGGGCUAGAUGAAUUGUGCACUUCCUAUCCAUUUUUUUAAAGGCUAUUUUAAAAAGGCAAAAGGAUUACCCCCAGAGUAUUAAGAUAGUUUCUCACAAAUACAAGCAAACAGUUAAAAGUGUCAACAAGCAGUGUGUAAAACAGAGUGCUCAAGCAGCCAUCUGAAUAAACUGGGUUUUAAUCCUGAUCUACGUGUAGCCUUGGGAAAGAAACAUCGCCCCUCUAGGCUUUGGUUUCUUCCUCCGAAAAAGAUGAGCUCUAAUGUCUUUGUUUCUCUACCUUUCCACAAGUUUUUAAUUAAGAAUAUGUGUAAAGUAAGUGAGGUUAUUCCAAGGCACAGGCGCACACGUCAUCUCUGGACUGGAAAGUCAGGGUUCAUAGCAAGAGAUUAUCGUCAACAAGUCCACAAGGGUCUUCAUAACCCAGUCAAGAGUCAAAGGAUCAUUGAGGGGAAAUUCCAUUCUCAUUCCCAGGCUGUUUUCCUAUGAAUCCUCAUCCAAUUUAAGCACAUAAAAAGGGCUUUUUCAUAUGUUAAAAUGUGCAUAUCCCAAGUUUAACAUUUCCCACCAAAAUAGAACACAUUUGUACCUCCAUCAGCUAUUCACAAGAGGAUGUUUAAAAUCCACACAUUUAUGAAUUAAAAGUACAAAGUACAAUUUGUAUCAAUUUUAAAGAGAAAAAAGGGGGGGUGGUUGUGAGUAGUCUAAAUGAAACAUCAUGUCAAAAAUAGAAUACAUAACCUGGCAACAAGAAAAAUGUUCCUAGCACUUGGUGAAAAUUAAGUUCAAGAUGGUGUGUGUUCAAGGAAUAAAAAUGACUGUAUCUAUGGAAUUUUGAAUUUUAAAAAGAGGCUUUUCAUAGGCUUCAUCUCAUUUGUAAGCACUUCAAUUUUUAAAUUAACAUAGCAUAAAAUUAACUUUUUAUGUGAAUACAGGUCUAUACAUUUUCUUUAACAUCUUUGAGUAUAAUUGCUUUACAAUGGUGUGUUAGUUUCUGCUGUAUAACAAAGUGAAUCAGCUAUACAUAAACAUAUAUCCCCAUAUCUCCUCCCUCUUGCGUCUCCCUCCCACCCUCCCUAUCCCACCCCUCUAGGUGGUCACAAAGCACCGAGCUGAUCUCCCUGUGCUAUGUGGCUGCUUCUCACUAGCUAUAUAUGUUACAUUUGGUAGUGUAUAUCAUCCCAUAGGUUUUGGAUCGUCGUGUUUUCAUUGUCAUUUUUUCUAGGUAUUUUUUGAUUUCCUCUUUGAUUUCUUCAGUGAUCUCUUGGUUAUUUAGUAGUGUAUUGUUUAGCCUCCAUGUGUUUGUAUUUUUUACAGUUUUUUUUUCCUGUAAGUGAUAUCUAGUCUUAUAGCGUUGUGGUCAGAAAAGGUACCUGAUAUGAUUUCAAUUUUCUUAAAUUUACCAAGGCUUGUUUUGUGACCCAAGGUAUGA
This is a long non-coding RNA of Balaenoptera ricei (Rice's whale), 8990 nucleotides long. RefSeq lists it as uncharacterized. The record is from RefSeq and is a predicted model, not a curated record. Lineage: Eukaryota; Metazoa; Chordata; Mammalia; Artiodactyla; Balaenopteridae. The transcript is spliced from 9 exons.